Molecule: ribosomal RNA, 487 nt
Filed under: uncultured bacterium
Lineage: Bacteria
Description: bacterial SSU rRNA
Rfam family: Bacterial small subunit ribosomal RNA
Source: RNAcentral
CUACGUGCCAGCAGCCGCGGUAAUACGUAGGUGGCAAGCGUUGUCCGGAAUUAUUGGGCGUAAAGCGCGCGCAGGCGGAUCAGUUAGUCUGUCUUAAAAGUUCGGGGCUUAACCCCGUGAUGGGAUGGAAACUGCUGAUCUAGAGUAUCGGAGAGGAAAGUGGAAUUCCUAGUGUAGCGGUGAAAUGCGUAGAUAUUAGGAAGAACACCAGUGGCGAAGGCGACUUUCUGGACGAAAACUGACGCUGAGGCGCGAAAGCCAGGGGAGCGAACGGGAUUAGAUACCCCGGUAGUCCUGGCCGUAAACGAUGGGUACUAGGUGUAGGAGGUAUCGACCCCUUCUGUGCCGGAGUUAACGCAAUAAGUACCCCGCCUGGGGAGUACGACCGCAAGGUUGAAGCUCAAAGGAAUUGACGGGGGCCCGCACAAGCGGUGGAGUAUGUGGUUUAAUUCGACGCAACGCGAAGAACCUUACCAGGUCUUGACAU